This 218-nucleotide unclassified non-coding RNA is filed under the name Hevea brasiliensis (rubber tree). The record is from RNAcentral. Lineage: Eukaryota; Viridiplantae; Streptophyta; Magnoliopsida; Malpighiales; Euphorbiaceae.
GCCGGCGAGGGUGAUGUGGGCGCUGCGAGAACUUGGUGUGUGGGUGCACCAUGUGAGCAUGUCGAGCUUGAAAGAUACGAUGGUGGUGGACGUGAUGGGGACAGUUCCGGCGAGCUCAGGGCUGGAAACAGGAGAGAGGAUGAGGACUGCUCUCUUGAAUAAGAUAGCGGCGGAGUGAAGCACAGUCUGUGCAGCAUGUUACUUGGUUAAGAUCGCUG